UUCCGGUUGAUCCUGCCGGAGGCCAUUGCUAUCGGAAUCCGAUUUAGCCAUGCUAGUCGCACGGGUCAGACCCGUGGCGAACAGCUCAGUAACACGUGGCCAAACUACCCUGUGGACGAGGAUAAUCUCGGGAAACUGAGGUCAAUCCUUGAUAGGGCUUCCAUCCUGGAGUGGAGGAAGUCCAAAAGUUGCGCUGCAGCACCACAGGAUGUGGCUGCGGCCGAUUAGGUAGACGGUGGGGUAACGGCCCACCGUGCCAGUAAUCGGUACGGGUGAUGAGAGUCAGAGCCCGGAGACGGUAUCUGAGACAAGAUACCGGGCCCUACGGGGCGCAGCAGGCGCGAAACCUUUACACUGCACGACAGUGCGAUAGGGGGAUUCCGAGUGCGAGGGCAUACAGUCCUCGCUUUUCUGGACCGUAAGGAGGUCCAAGAAUAAGGGCUGGGCAAGACCGGUGCCAGCCGCCGCGGU
Molecule: ribosomal RNA, 471 nt
Filed under: uncultured archaeon
Lineage: Archaea
Description: bacterial SSU rRNA
Rfam family: Archaeal small subunit ribosomal RNA
Source: RNAcentral